Molecule: ribosomal RNA, 498 nt
Filed under: uncultured bacterium
Lineage: Bacteria
Description: partial 16S ribosomal RNA
Rfam family: Bacterial small subunit ribosomal RNA
Source: RNAcentral
AUUGAACGCUGGCGGCAUGCCUUACACAUGCAAGUCGAACGGCAGCACGGGGCAACCUGGUGGCGAGUGGCGAACGGGUGAGGAAUGCAUCGGAACGUACCUUUCAGUGGGGGAUAACGUAGCGAAAGUCACGCUAAUACCGCAUAUUCUGUGAGCAGGAAGGCAGGGGAUCGCAAGACCUUGCGCUGAUUGAGCGGCCGAUGUCAGCUUAGCUAGUUGGUGGGGUAAAGGUUCACCAAGGCGACGAUCUGUAGCGGGCCUGGGAGGAUGAUCCGCCACACUGGAACUGAGACACGGUCCAGACUCCUACGGGAGGCAGCAGUGGGGGAUUUUGGACAAUGGGGGCAACCCUGAUCCAGCCAUGCCGCGUGAGUGAAGAAGGCCUUCGGGUUGUAAAGCUCUUUCGGCCGGGAAGAAAUCGCACGGGCUAAUACCCUGUGUGGAUGACGGUACCGGAAUAAGAAGCACCGGCUAACUACGUGCCAGCAGCCGCAGUAA